This 548-nucleotide ribosomal RNA is filed under the name Cladosporium perangustum. RNAcentral's name for it is "partial large subunit ribosomal RNA". It matches the Rfam family "Eukaryotic large subunit ribosomal RNA", at positions 86 to 655 of the family's 3401-position model. The record is from RNAcentral. Lineage: Eukaryota; Fungi; Ascomycota; Dothideomycetes; Cladosporiales; Cladosporiaceae.
ACGGCGAGUGAAGCAGCAAUAGCUCAAAUUUGAAAUCUGGCGUCUUCGACGUCCGAGUUGUAAUUUGUAGAGGAUGCUUCUGAGUAACCACCGACCUAAGUUCCUUGGAACAGGACGUCAUAGAGGGUGAGAAUCCCGUAUGCGGUCGGAAAGGUGCUCUACACGUAGCUCCUUCGACGAGUCGAGUUGUUUGGGAAUGCAGCUCUAAAUGGGAGGUAAAUUUCUUCUAAAGCUAAAUAUUGGCCAGAGACCGAUAGCGCACAAGUAGAGUGAUCGAAAGAUGAAAAGCACUUUGGAAAGAGAGUUAAAAAGCACGUGAAAUUGUUAAAAGGGAAGGGAUUGCAACCAGACUUGCUCGCGGUGUUCCGCCGGUCUUCUGACCGGUCUACUCGCCGCGUUGCAGGCCAGCAUCGUCUGGUGCCGCUGGAUAAGACUUGAGGAAUGUAGCUCCCUCGGGAGUGUUAUAGCCUCUUGUGAUGCAGCGAGCGCCGGGCGAGGUCCGCGCUUCGGCUAGGAUGCUGGCGUAAUGGUCGUAAUCCGCCCGUCUU